CAUCCUCCAAGGCUAAAUACUCCUGACUGACCGAUAGUGAACCAGUACCGUGAGGGAAAGGCGAAAAGAACCCCGGCGAGGGGAGUGAAAAAGAACCUGAAACCGUGUACGUACAAGCAGUGGGAGCCCCACCACCAAAGCAUUUGCUGUACCGCGUUGACGGAGCGAAGCGACGUCAAACCGAUAAAACAGCAGUGUAAAGUGAGCCGCAGGGCGCUUUGCGCGACAGCGCAAAGGCAGGCGGUUUCGCGUAGCGAAAGCGAAUGCUUUGGGGUGGGGUGACUGCGUACCUUUUGUAUAAUGGGUCAGCGACUUAUAUUCUGUAGCAAGGUUAACCGAAUAGGGGAGCCGGAGGGAAACCGAGUCUUAAUUGGGCGUUAAGUUGCAGGGUAUAGACCCGAAACCCGGUGAUCUAGCCAUGGGCAGGUUGAAGGGUGGGUAACACUAACUGGAGGACCGAACCGACUAAUGUUGAAAAAUUAGCGGAUGACCUGUGGCUGGGGGUGAAAGGCCAAUCAAACCGGGAGAUAGCUGGUUCUCCCCGAAAGCUAUUUAGGUAGCG
Molecule: ribosomal RNA, 562 nt
Filed under: Salmonella enterica subsp. enterica serovar Enteritidis
Lineage: Bacteria; Pseudomonadati; Pseudomonadota; Gammaproteobacteria; Enterobacterales; Enterobacteriaceae
Description: partial 23S ribosomal RNA
Rfam family: Bacterial large subunit ribosomal RNA
Source: RNAcentral